CCCCCCCCCCCCCCCCCCCCAAAAAAAAAAAAAGACUAUCACGCUGCAAUUUCAAUUCCGUUCUUGUACUUCUUGGACACCGUUUGUAGAUGAGCUGUAACGUUUUUAGCGCACAAAAUGAAAAAAAAAUAGAGCUAUGUUAUUUCAAAAACUAGAUAUGGUUGGGUAAAAUUAACUACUUAAGAAAUAGCAAAUAGGUACUUGUUAGUAAACUGGGGUUAACAUGGCCAAUUUCCCGCAAUUAUCAACAUCUUCUCGCCGCAAAACCCGAACUGUCAAUAGCCCUAAAUUAUUGUUCGGCAAAAUCAAAGAACAGAAAAUAGAAAGUGAAAUGAAUCAUUUGUAAUCCAGCACAGCCCCGACAAAUCAAACGCGCCGGCCUCUCUAGAAGCCGGUUGCAAAUAUAUCAAUGAUCCCUCUUAGAUGCCGCGUGUGCUCGUACGCGGGGCUAACAUUGCCGACACACACAGAGUGUGGCAUUGGAUAUAGUAAUUUUUUUAGACUAUCACACCAAAGAUGGUUUGAAAUGUCUAGUUCGAAAGACUAUCAAAUCGAGUUCCUUGGCCUUUAUGAAAAUAAGGAUCCAAAGAUGGUUAGGGAUGUCUAGUUUCAAAAGAAUCCAGAAAUCCGUUCCCUGAGCAUGAUUGCACAAGGAGAUAAAUGUUUAAACAUCUUUUCGUCUAAAAGGGCAUGAUCGCCUUAUCUCAUUCCUCAUACAUGGUGAGAAAAAACAAACAGUUAAAAACUGGUUGCCUUUUUGGGUGUGAUGGUGUUUACUAACAAAAAUGACUAUAUAUUUUAAAGUUUUUUUUAUCUUUUUGGUAAAUCGCUUAUGAAUCGAAUCCCGGACUGGAAAUGGUGUGACCCCAACCAGCCACGGUCAUAGAAUGAUUACAUAACGUGAUAUUGGCCUUUAAAAGAGAGACCAAAUACUACACGUGGCUUGAUACACGUGAUUUACGGUCUCACACACUCUACUAAAUUAGCUUUCAAGUGGGAUCAUCUCGAGAUCUAUUCCAAGAUGGAAAGCUCGAGAUUACAGUUGACCUUUCAGAGAGCCUUGUCGACACAGUCUUGAAACAGCCAUAUCCACUUGUGAACACUGAGUAUGCCAACGCAACUCAAGAGAGUUCGCGAACUUUCCAGGAACGACAGUGGAUGACAAAUAACACGGUCUGUAGGACGUUCGAUCAAAACUAAAAUUGGCUCUCGCACAGUCUACAGAACGUUCGAUCAAGCUGAGCCCCUUACUUAACUCAAAGUAAUAAGAACUUUUUAAAACUAUGUUAGGAUGAGGAACAGCAAAAUCACUCGAGAAAUUGAUAAAGAGGACCCACUUGAACUCACCGAAAGAUUUGCACAGCUAAGGUGAAAUACCCCAUCGAGUAUGAGAACGCUCGAUAUCUCCUUAGACCACCAGAUAGUAGCCCAAUGUUCUCAGGUUUCUUGGAACAAAAGUAACAAACGAAAAUGUGACGGAAGAGCGCCUCCCUUGCUUGCCUUCGGUACAGAUAUUCUGGAACAAAUAGUCUAACCCUGCUCAUAUGUGGUAAAGGUAUGAACACGUGAAAUUCCCUAGCUCAUGGUAAAGAUAUGUUCAGUGCGAUAAGGAAGAUAACAUUAGGCUGUCAGCUUAUUUUUGGUGAAGGUAUUCCAGGUUUAAAUAGUUGAGAUGAAAGAAGUCUUCCUUUAGUUUAUGUCUGGUUGUUAUUUCAGGUGAGAUGAAUGUAGCCUUCUUUAGUUCAUAAGCCAUCUCAGGUAGUUAUAUGUGAAAUGAAAGUAACCUUUCUUUAGUUCAUAAGUUAUUACAGGUAUUUAAAAGUGAGAUGGAGGUAGGAUGAAUAUGUGAAAUGGAGAAGGCUGCUCUAGCUUAUUUGUGGUAAAUAUAUGUUCAGUAUGGUAAGAAAGAUGAAAAUACAAGGCCGUAGCAGGGGGCACUCGGGGUACGUGCCCCCCUUCCCAAUAUAUAUAUAUAUAUAUAUAAGAAAAUGACAAGUAGGGGCGUGGCUGUGCCCCCACAGCUUUCUUGGUGUUUCUUCUGAAAAUAUUGAUAUAGUGAUAUAGCUCAAGCAGUCAAUUUGGGAAAGAAGUCUUGAAGGUUCAAAUAAAAAAAAUUAGGUUGGACGUUCCCAGCAGGAAGAAGUAUCCAGGUAUGAAUAAUAGACUAUGCAAGUGGGAUUUCCUUGGAAUAAGUUUGGUCACCCUGCUCUAAUACAGGCUUUCCAGGAAUGGGUAAGUGAGAAGGAAGUAUUAUGUCUUACUGAAAUGUUAUAUUAUGCCAAGGGAGAGGCGUCUUUUUAUCCUUCGUGUCCCUUAUCUCGAACACCCACGAGACUGCGAAUUUUAUCGGAACAACCUACCCCUCUUAUCGUAUACACUUGAAAGAAACAAGUGAGAAAACUUUAAAAUAACCACCCAUAAUUAAAUUCUAAUACAUUUUUGACGACAUAGGAUUAAGUGUCUCAGUUAAACUUCAAACUUCAACUAUAAAUUAUAUCAAAACAAUAUUUACAGUAGCACACUACCUGCAGAUGGCUAAAGCUGGUCGAGGCAGGUAGGUGAAGGACAGUACUGAUUAUUAUAGAGAAAAGGGGGAAAAACUAAUAUUAAAACAAUACUGGAUACAAAACAUAUGAUUAUAGAAAGAGGUACACUAUUUAAAGAAGAUCAAGAAUAAAGUAAUGAAUAAAUGAGCGAAUAAAUAAAUUAAGAUAAAGUUUACAGUUUACACAUGUCAUUAAUAAUCGUUUUUGUGUCAGCAUAACUAUCCUCUUUUUUGAAAAUGUCAAAUAAUAUUGAAUUCAUUUUUUCUUGAACAAUCCUUUUGGAAGAUAGAUCGACUAUUCCAAAUUCGAGCUCCUAUAGAGGAGAAUGAAUUUCUAUGGUGGUUUAAUCUAGACUGAGAGAUAAAGUAGCAUCCAGCAGUUACUCGCAUGAAUCAUUCGAUGGAAAUGGAUGCUUUACAUUUACUCGCUUAUCAGUCGAUGGAAAUGGAUGCUUUACAGUUACUCGCUUGAAUCAGUCGAUGGAAAUGGAUGCUUUACAGUUACUCGCAUGAAUCAGUCGAUGGAAAUGGAUGCUUUACAUUUACUCGCAUGAAUCCGUCGAUGGAAAUGGAUGCUUUACAUUUACUCGCUUGAAUCAGUCGAUGGAAAUGGAUGCUUUACAGCUACUCGCUUGAAUCAGUCGAUGGAAAUGAUGCUUUACAUUUACUCGCAUGAAUCAGUCGAUGGAAAUGGAUGCUAAACAGUGUAAAUCCACUGUUGAUUGGAAAUAGCUCGAAGUCAGUGAUGUGUACUUGUCAAUAAGAAAACAACAACAUUUUAUCGAGUAUGGUAGCUGUCACAAUCAAUGUCCUCGCUUCGCCUGGAGUGAUUUUUGAAUGCUGUAACACUACCGGCCAUUUAUCUUAUCAAAAUACUACGACGUGUUAAAAAGCAUCAAUUUCAAUUAGUUAGUUUGGCAAAGCUAUUGUGAUAUUUUCGAUAUGGAUAAAUGAAGCACCAAACUUGAAAAACUGCCAAUCAUUACUUUAAAACAACUGUUUUUAAAUGGUUACUUUACAUUAUUUCUUUACAUAAUUGAUCUUAUAUUAAAUAAGAACAAAAACAGGGGUGUCGACGACAAGGCUUUUUUUUCUUCGCUAUACUUGUUGAGCGAUAGGAAAGGGCGGUUUGACGUUACAGGGCGAGCGCUAUACUACUUCCUAACAUUUCUAGCCAAGUGCGGGAUUUCGAAAUUGUCUUCAGAUGUGAUCGGGACAGCGUCUAUAAGAGCAGUGGUGCGCCUAUGGAGAUAAGUCAGCGAGCAAGCAGACUUACUGUGACACGAGCAUUUUGUCAGUACUUCACUUGACGGAAAUUAAAAACUCUUGACAUACA
Molecule: long non-coding RNA, 3881 nt
Organism: Nematostella vectensis (starlet sea anemone)
Lineage: Eukaryota; Metazoa; Cnidaria; Anthozoa; Actiniaria; Edwardsiidae
Exons: 2
Source: RefSeq, a predicted model, not a curated record